CAGUAGCCACGGGAAUACGUAGGUGGCAAGCGUUGUCCGGAAUUAUUGGGCGUAAGGGGCUCGCAGGCGGUUUCUUAAGUCUGAUGUGAAAGCCCCCGGCUCAACCGGGGAGGGUCAUUGGAAACUGGGAAACUUGAGUGCAGAAGAGGAGAGUGGAAUUCCACGUGUAGCGGUGAAAUGCGUAGAGAUGUGGAGGAACACCAGUGGCGAAGGCGACUCUCUGGUCUGUAACUGACGCUGAGGAGCGAAAGCGUGGGGAGCGAACAGGAUUAGAUACCCGCGUAGUCCCUGUCUCUUAUAC
This 301-nucleotide ribosomal RNA is filed under the name uncultured bacterium. Its description in RNAcentral is "partial 16S ribosomal RNA". It matches the Rfam family "Bacterial small subunit ribosomal RNA", at positions 509 to 807 of the family's 1533-position model. The record is from RNAcentral.